This 634-nucleotide unclassified non-coding RNA is filed under the name Bombus terrestris (buff-tailed bumblebee). RNAcentral describes it as "misc RNA ENSBTSG00005021057.1". The record is from RNAcentral. Lineage: Eukaryota; Metazoa; Arthropoda; Insecta; Hymenoptera; Apidae.
AAAUGAAAUUUUGCAAUUUUAAAUUUCCGAAAAAUUCACAAGCGAAUCCACAAUCUAUGGCGCCACAGUAACAAAGAACGGUAUCGACAGUGGCGUAUCGAUGACCUGUGCGCCCUGGGAAAAGUCUCUUGUCUAAUCGACAAUUGGUUGGCCGCUCGGUCCGAUACGGAUCGCGGUACGAUCGAGUGUGGUUGCAUACGUGCAGAGGCUGAAUAGGCUGAGAGGAAAAAGGUGGCUGGCUAUGAAUGGAAGAUGAGUGUUCCGGGCUUUCGUGCGGAUAAAUAGAGGCACACACGGUUUCAUAGGGAACUCGUCGAUCUGGAAUACUCUCAGGAUCAACCUGAAUGUUCCAUCUAUCAGCUGCGAUUCGAAUUUGAAUUUUCCUGGGAUUUGUAAAGGUCUUUUAUCCGAUCCUCAUGACUUCUAAAUGAUCGUCUCUUUUCAGGAUAACGGGGUCAAUCUAGCGUGAUACCAUUUCACUCUGAAGCUACAUUCUAACGUGCACAUAUACAUAUUUCUAUCUGUUUUACGUUUUUCAUUUAUCUUACUCUUUCGCGCGGCUACGUGUUUCUUUCAUUUGCCUGUUACGUAUCCGCUUAUUACCUGACAAUUAUUUUAUUAAAUUAUCUAUCAG